CCCCCCCCCCCGCGCCGCCUCGCAUCACCAGUGCUCCUCGCCGGCUUCAGCUCCUCCGCGAAUUUAUCACAUCACCUGAGGGCUGAGGCGACUUCUGUUGCUGAUGGUGGCCAUGGCGAGGAAGGAUGACGAAGAGGGGCCCGCGGACCGCGUGCCGCACCUGCCGUGGAUGCGGUGCCCCGUCGACAUCGACGCCUUCUCCGGCUGCCCCGUCGCGCAGCUUCCCCGCCUCGACCCCAGAUUAGCAGAGGCUUUGCGGAGAAUGGGAAUUGAAUCAUUUUUUCCAGUUCAAGAAGCAGCUUGGGUGGAAACGAUUGGUCCUGGUGCUUUUGAGAGGGAUAUCUGUAUUAACUCCCCAACUGGAUCUGGCAAAACUCUAGCUUAUGCCCUACCUAUUGUGCAAAUGCUCUCCACACGGAAAGUAAGGUGCCUACGUGCUUUGGUUGUGCUUCCUACACGGGAUUUAGCCUUGCAGGUUAAAGAGGUUUUUGAUGCUAUUGCUCCUGUUGUGGGUUUGUCGGUAGGUUCAGCAGUUGGCCAAUCGUCAAUAGCGGAUGAAGUUUCCAAUCUUGUCAUGAAGCCCAAACAAGAGCUUUACCCAACUAUUGAUGAAGAAUAUGUUAAAAUGGAACCACAGACUAAAGUUGAUAUAUUGGUGGCAACACCUGGAAGACUGAUGGAUCACAUUAACAUGACAAACGGUUUCAGCCUGGAGCAUCUUCAGUACCUGGUCAUUGAUGAAACAGAUAGGAUGUUAAGAGAGGCUUACCAAUCCUGGUUGCCAACAGUGAUCCAACUUACACUCUCAAUUGGCAAAGAUCAUUCCUGGCACGACACUGAUGGGAAAACUCUACUUCAUCCAUUGACUACUAUUAGAAGAUCAGGUGUUGAGCGUGGGUUUAAAGGUAAAUGCUAUCCAAGAUUAGCAAAGAUAGUUUUGUCUGCUACACUGACUCAAGAUCCUAGCAAGCUUUCUCAACUCGAGUUGCACCACCCCUUAUUGUUGAAUAGUGGGAAGAAGCGUUACAGAAUUCCUACAAAACUUGAAUCCUACAAACUGAUUUGUACAUCAAACUUAAAGCCACUAUCACUCAUUGUUCUUCUCCAAGAGCUGCAAGGGAACAAGUGCUUAGUUUUUACCUCAUCUGUAGAAUCAAGCCACAGGCUAAGCACGUUGCUGGGAUUUUUUGAAGACUUGCCCUUUAAAUUUAGUGAAUAUUCACGCUUGCAGCGAGAAUCUACUCGAAGGAAGACACUGGAGGCCUUCAAGGGAGGGGAAAUCGAUGUUCUAAUAGGUACUGAUAGAAUGGCUCGUGGAAUACAUAUUGAUGGUUUAAGAUAUGUUAUCAAUUAUGAUAUGCCACCAUAUGUGAAAACAUACAUACAUCGAGCGGGUCGGACUGCAAGAGCAGGGGAGUCUGGUUCCUGCUUCACCUUUUUAAGAAAACAUGAGGUUAAAACUUUUGACAAAAUGCUGAAGAAGGCUGACAAUGCUAGCUGCAGUCUUCAUUCAUUGCCUGAGGAAUCAAUAGAAACACUUCGUCCAGUUUUCUCCAUAGCUCUGAAAAAACUGGAAGAGUCUCUGGAAUCAGAAGCAGCAAAGAAAUCUAAUCCAGGAGAUAAAAUCCCAAGUGGUUCUAAACGAAAGAGAACAAACCAGAAGUGAAGCAAUAGAUUAGCUUAAGUUCUGAAGUAUUGAUGUCGCAUCUGCAUUUGCUACAGAGAUCCAGCAGGACUUCUUAUAACUGGUUCGUCUAUCAUUAUGGAUACCCAAAGUAAGACGGAUGAUUUCAUAUGUUUGCUGUGCAUUCCUCUGUCCUACCUCAGGGCAACUUUCGCCAUGCCUUCAACUGGCCGAUCCAUUUUGAUGAAUGGUACAGUAAAUUUCUCGGUCAUGGACAGUUGGAAAAGCAUCCUUCUUCCCUUCUGUGGUGUUCAUCAUUCACUGUGCAUUUAUGGCUGGAAGGAGGCCACCCCAAAGAAAAAGUUGGGUACCUUCACAUCAAUGUAUCGGCACUCGUAACCUUUCAGUUAUGCUUUACACUUGGAAUAUUCCUUUCUGUCUUUGUCGAUAAAACGGUUUUUACUCAAUUAUUUAGUGCCAUUGAUCGGGAAAUGUCAAACUAGCAUAUCACUCGGCUGAACACCCCAUUUCCUUCUCUCCAACUUUCAACGUGA
This is an RNA transcript of Panicum virgatum (switchgrass), 2178 nucleotides long. It is a transcript of the gene named DEAD-box ATP-dependent RNA helicase 1, with no coding region annotated. Lineage: Eukaryota; Viridiplantae; Streptophyta; Magnoliopsida; Poales; Poaceae. The record is from RefSeq and is a predicted model, not a curated record. The transcript has 10 exons.